AGUCACCUCAAUCACCACACUUGCCAUUGUGAUUUUACAUGGUUAGUGUUAUUUCUUACAGGUAAUGCUGUUUUGUCCGGAAAGUUGCUGACCUUGUAGCCCAGCCAAUAUUUUGGUGAAGAAGUAGAAGUUCCUGGAUGAAGAGUCUUGGUCAGGAGGUUCUCCUCCACGUGGUAAUCCAUGGAUCCAGUCUCCAACCAACUCAUGGCUGUAUAUCUGUCUGGCUGGUAAACAAAAAGAAAGAACAUGCAGAAUGCAGCCCUUGUUCAAUGACACUAAAGGAAGAUAGAAGACUUCAGGAGAAAAUGCAAGCCUAUCUCUAUUAGCUGUGGUGCAACGGCCGAAGCAGCAACUCCAAGGUGAUUUGGUGUUCUGCAGUGUAACUUGAACAUUUAGUCUUAAACAAAUGAAUAGCCUGAAAGCAGAGAAUCAAUAGUUCUCUGAGAACAGUGUUUGCAUUUUCCUUCCGAUUAUGGCAUUCUCCCAAUAACUUAGAUUUCCUUUAAUGACAGUGAUCUUGGGCAGCUUCAGAUGCUCUGACCCAGUGCCCAACCAGAUCUUAUUAAAACUUUUGUUAUUUGUGUACACUACAGUUUAUGUGCUAUCUGCAUAAUGUCCCUUUUCCUGGUAGGAAGAAAAUCACAGACAAAUGCGUUAGAAUGUAUUAUGUUAUAAUUCAUGUCUAAGAAAUUUUGAGGUAUUUGGUUCUAAAACACCUUGUACUAAUUUCUCAGUUAUCCCAGUACUUCCUCAAACCUCCUUAAAUGUUAUGAUUUUGGUCCCUACCAAGCAUGGUUAUCAAUGACUCUGUGAUUUCUUCUAAUAGGCAAAAUGCAAUAGGUAUAUUAAAAUAUAAGCCUAAGUCAUUUACAGCUUGACUUGUAUGGCUUUUGAUUCCUUUUGAACACCUGUCGACACGUACCAGUGGACACCCUGAAUCUCAAGUGGUGAGAAUAGCACAUGGUUCAAGUGGACCUCUGCCAACUCUGCUGCCAGAGUCCCAGUACAGUGGAUGGUUAAAACCACAUAUGGUUCAACCAGAUUCUAUGGGGCAGAAUGGGAAAGACAGACUUCUGGGCCUGUCAUAGAACAAAGAUCCAACCAGACAGCCAUUUUCAGGGCUGCCAAGAGUAUUAUUCAGAGAGAUGUGCACAGCAAUAAGAGACAGGCAAGUUACCCAUUUUGAGAUCCAAGAAAACGAAGUUUGUCAGCUAUGCACCCCAUGCCAUGGUAAUAGGUAAGCUCUUUGGUCGCAUUUUCAAGGAGAUGUGUUUGCUUGCUUUAGCCUCUAUUCCAAUCUCCUGAUUGCAAUUUAAGAGAAAUGAAAAAAUCUAGCCUGGCCUCAUAUUUAUUCAAUUUUUUUUUUUUUUUUUUUUAGGGCCAUACUCAUGGCAUAUGGAGGUUCCCAGGCUGGGGUCUAAUUGGAGCUACAGCUGCUGGCCUACACCACAGUCACAGCAAUGCCAGAUUCAAGCCACAUUUGCAUCAUACACCACAGCUCAUGGCAAUGCAGGAUCCUGAACCCACUGAGCGAGGCCAGGGAUUGAACCCGCAACGUCAUGGUUCCUAGUCAGAUUCAUUUCCACUGAGCCACAAUAGGACCUCCUUCAUUCAAAAUUUGAUGCUUAAAAGGUAGGAAAAUAGUGGAGUAUUGUCCAAUAUAAAAAGAAUAAAUUGGACUUAAAAUUUUCUUUUACCA
This 1699-nucleotide long non-coding RNA is filed under the name Sus scrofa (pig). RNAcentral's name for it is "lncRNA (ENSSSCG00050050499.1)". Lineage: Eukaryota; Metazoa; Chordata; Mammalia; Artiodactyla; Suidae. The record is from RNAcentral.